RNAcentral lists this ribosomal RNA (447 nucleotides) under uncultured bacterium. Its description in RNAcentral is "bacterial SSU rRNA". It matches the Rfam family "Bacterial small subunit ribosomal RNA", at positions 330 to 793 of the family's 1533-position model. The record is from RNAcentral.
UCCAGACUCCUACGGGAGGCAGCAGUGGGGAAUAUUGCACAAUGGGGGAAACCCUGAUGCAGCAACGCCGCGUGAGUGAAGAAGUAUUUCGGUAUGUAAAGCUCUAUCAGCAGGGAAGAGAAUGACGGUACCUGUCGAAUAAGCCACGGCUAACUACGUGCCAGCAGCCGCGGUAAUACGUAGGUGGCAAGCGUUGUCCGGAUUUACUGGGUGUAAAGGGCGUGUAGCCGGGCUGACAAGUCAGAUGUGAAAUCCGGGGGCUCAACCCCCGAACUGCAUUUGAAACUGUUGGUCUUGAGUAUCGGAGAGGCAGGCGGAAUUCCUAGUGUAGCGGUGAAAUGCGUAGAUAUUAGGAGGAACACCAGUGGCGAAGGCGGCUUACUGGACUGUAACUGACGUUGAGGCUCGAAGGCGUGGGGAGCAAACAGGAUUAGAUACCCGAGUACG